This is an RNA transcript of Loxodonta africana (African savanna elephant), 20397 nucleotides long. It is a transcript of the gene named LIM zinc finger domain containing 1, with no coding region annotated. The record is from RefSeq and is a predicted model, not a curated record. NCBI's taxonomy places the organism in Eukaryota, Metazoa, Chordata, Mammalia, Proboscidea, Elephantidae. The transcript has 5 exons.
UAUUGCUUCUUUUCAUUUUCUCCUUUGUCUUCUUUUCACAUUUCCCAGAGUUCUUCAGUAUUCAUGACUUCAGGUAUCAUCUGUGUGAAGGUGACUGUCAAAUUCAGGGUGGAGUCAUUUCUAACUCUCAUUUAGAGACUAGCACAGUUUAAACUAGUAGAUGCUCAGCUAAUAUUUGUGCAUGAGUAUAUGAAUGAAAUUAAGCAUUGAAAGCAGUUUAUUGAAUCAUUUAUUGAAUAGGCAGAGAAAUCCAAAUAGGGUGUUUAGAUUUGUUUUUCUAAGCUAAGCCUUAAAUCCAUUAGGCGAUAAUAGAAUUAGCAUAAAUGGGGAUUUUAAAACCAAGAUCCCAAAUAUACCUUCUUCUAAUCUCCCCAAAGUAAAGGGAUCUCGUUACCUCAUUGAAAUAGUGCAUUGUAUAUGAGAAGUAUAUUGGAGUAUACCGGAAGACACUCAGUAGGAUGGGUUAACACAGUGACUGGAACAGUGGACUCAAGCAUAGCAGCGACUGUGAGGAGGGGGCAGGAAGGGGCAAUGUUCGUUCUGUUGUACCUCGGGGCACUGUGUGUCGGAACCAACUCUGCAGCACCUAACAAGAACAACAACAUAUUGUAUAUUUUGUAAUGUGGGGAGAAAUUUCAGUGCAUUUAUCUUUGAAGUUAAAAAAUAUGACAGUAAUAGGUUUUAUAAAGUUUCUUGUAAAAACAGAAUGCUUUUUGACCAUAUGUGCUUGAAACGUUAUUGGUAGGUUUUGUGGCCACGAUAACCAAUUCUAGAAGUGUAUUUCUAUCAUCUUUGUACAUCUCUGUGUUAACCAUUUGCUAUUAUUUUACAACUAUUUAAAGGAAAGUAUGGUUGAAUGGUAUUGGGAUGAAAUGGUAUAUUGUCAGAUUUUCUAAUUGCUUGGAGAUAAUGGGAAUGAAAAAAAUUGGCACUAUUUUGGAAAGAAAUAUGAGUAUGCAUGGAACUAGAAAUGGCCAGAAGCUUAAAUGUAGGGUUCUAGUUUGCAAUGUUUUAGCCAUGUUUGGUGGGGGUACAGGGGUAGGAGGGAGAGACUUACAGGAUUGUUUAUAGGCAAGAUUCUUUUCUAUGAAUAAGCCUAGGAUGUCCCUCCUCCCUUUAAUGUAAAGAGAGAGAAGGAUAUUCAGCUACCAGUGACUUAGCUUUCACUCACAGUGUUGUUGAUAGCUGCUGUUGGGUUGGCCCCCAACUCAUUGCAAGCCCGUACACGGCAGAAUGAAAGGCUGCCUGGUCCCGUCCUAUCCCCAUGAUGGGUUGCAGAUCGGACCUUUGCGAUCCAUGGGGGCGUUUCAUUGGUUGAUUUUUUUAGAAGUAGAUCACCAGGCUUUUCUUCCUAGUCCACCAUAGCCUGAAAGCUCUGCUGAAACCUGUUAAGCAUCAUAGCAACAUGCAAAAUUCAACUCUUAGGGACUAAAGGGGCACACCAGCCCUGGGGCAAGGACUAGAAGGCAGGAGGGGACCCGAAAGUUGGUAAUAGGGAACCCAAGGUCCAGAAGGGAGAGUGUUGACACGUCGUGGGGUUGUUAACCAGUGUCAUAAAACGAUAUGUGUACUGACUGUUUAAUGAGAAACUAGUUUGUUCUGUAAACCUUCAUCUAAAGUACAGUAAAAAUAAAAGUUUACAGAAGAUUUGAAAUCACAAAACAAAACUCUUAUGGAUAGUGGCUGCGCAUGAGGUGCGAUGACCAGGAAUCAAACCCAGGUCCCCCGCGUGGAAGGGGAGAAUUCUACUGUUGAGCCAUUACUGCCCUCAGAAUCGAGUUGGCUAAAUACCAGACUGUUUCAGGAAAACAGUCAACAUUUUUAGAGCUCCUGAUUGUCAGGGCAUGAAUGAAUAAAUAAAUGAAUGCAGAUAUCAACUCUGCAACAAAGUUUCCAUUUGAGAAUCUCAGAAAAGCAGUAGGUAGUUACUAUAUCUUUGGGCCUCUCUGAAUCUCAGUUUCCUCCUUCUGUAAAAAGAAAGGAUUGGUCAGGUCAGAAACUUUUAAAAGAAACAUUUUUUCCAGACAGAUUUUUGCUGGGGGCUAUGGAAUAGGAAAAACAAAAGUGGAGGUGCUUUGUGGAAGUGAUGUGAGAAAGGAGGGGGCCAGCCGUGAUUCUUCUCCUGAUCACCUUCCUCUUGUCUGUGGCAGCUGCCAGGGCAUCUCCUCUCAGGAGAGCAUCAUCUGAAAACCAGCAGGGGGUGUCCUCGAGAGUCUGCGAUUUUGAAACGGUGGAAUUCAAACAUCCCUGUACUGAACCUCCUCCAAAAUUCCCUAUCCUGCAUUAUACACUUGUAAGAAACAAAAGGUUAACCAUAUCGUGGUUACAUGCCGAAGUAUUCAUGGAUCAAAUAAUACAGCGUCUUGGGUUUGCUUCAUAAUAGUUUACGGUUGAAGAGUAGAUACAGCCAUUUGCCCAUGGUUUGAUAACUCUUGGAGUUUGGUGCGAUUCAUUAUACUGUUCUCACUAGUCUAAUACGUGUUUGAAAUCCUUCAGAAUCAGAGGUUUACAUUUUCUGCAAUAUUUAUCGUGGGGACUAGCACAAUUUUAAACUUUCUUAUGAACUAUCACAUAAUUUUUCAUUUAUUUGGGGCUUAUCAGUGGUUGUGCCCCACGCAGACACCUACGUACCAGUAGUCAAGUUAUAGUAAAGUGGCACCAGGUUCCCUGUGCCGUCAGCCAGCAUGUCAGUUGGCAUGUAAGCCAAACCAGUAUUUCACUGUUUAUGUCUCUGAUGUGUGUAAUUUGGAGGUGGGGUGGGGUAGAGGGUGGGAUGGAAAGAGGUAGGCUCCUUUACCUUAAACUUUAAUGUCUGCCUAUGGUAAUUAUUUAGCCUUUCGCAUUUUAUACCAAAAAAGAAAAAAUGUUUUGUAAUCUCAAAAUGUGGGGGAAAGAGACUGGACUAAGAAACUCAAACAUCUCAAAUUACUGCCUUUACCUCCAGGGAGCAGAGAUGGGAUUUGUUUCAUUUUUAAGACAAUUAAGUUUAUUUUAAAAAUAUGAACUUGGCUCACAGUGUGUGGGCUGCUGAAGAUGGCUGUGAAAAGUAUGGAUGGAGUCUUCAGAGACUGGGUCCCAAGUCUUGUAUCACCGCUUACUAAUUGACCUUUGCAAGUUGAUUAUUGUUAGGAGCUUAAGUUUCUCCAUUUGCCAGCUGAAUAUGAUUUAUAAAAGGAGAAAGUGUUUUGAUAGUAACAGAUUUAGAGCUGCUCAAGGAGGAUUUAUUGUGUUUCAUUUUGAAUAUCAAAUGAUUACAUGCUUUCCAUUUUUCCUAUUUGGGAGGCGACAUCUGUUUGGAAAGCAGAAAAUCAACUGUGCUUUGUUUCCUAAGUGCCUUGUGUUAUUAUUUCACUUGUUGGAUUCAGCUGUCUUCUCUCCCUUGGAAGACACCAUGUUAAAAGUGUUAGAGCCACGUAAGAUGUAGGAGUGAGGUGCCUCAGAGUCUAGCAACAAACAUUCUCAUCAAGUAUGAUGAGAUGGUGAAGGAAAAACCCAAGGUCAUGUGUGCAGUCAGAAUUCUGAUGGUUCUUGACAGCUUGAGGCAGUGCCAGGCUUCAGGCCAUGAUAUCGAUGUUUAGGGCCAAAUCAGUGGGAGAUGAAGUGGAGAAAAGCCUCCUGACUUCUCUUUCUGCUGCUUCAGCUUUGGAAGUACGAGAUGGAGUGCUCAUGUUAUUGAAGAACCCAAGUGUACGUAAUGGUGUGACUUUAGCAGCUUCUACAGAGCCCUGCGUCGUCCUCUGGGAUGGUGGCCUGUGAGCUCUGCUGGAAUACUGACUCAGACUGUCUAAAUUUAGAUGAAAAUAUUAAGCACAAUGUAAGGUAAAUUGACUUCCAGCAAUUAGAGGCGAUCUAUACCUGACUAGCAAAUGUAUGAUUGAUUUCUGAAUAAGAAAAUACUGAUGUUGCCUUAUGAACCAUUACAAUUUUUUUUUCUGAUUAUUGUAUUUGUGCUCAGAUUAAUUAAACUCUACCAGGUAAUUUUCCCCCUUGAUACAUUCUCCCUCCUAUUCCAGGAAGCAUAAUGCACCCAUAUGACUCUUAAAUGCUUGCUCAUGAUAAAAUGUUGGUUUUGUCCUUUGAACUGCUUGUUCCCUCCCUUCACUUUUGCUACCAUCUUAACUCUCAGUAAUUGGUUUGGUGAGUUUUUUCCACUUAGCCUAGAAUUUUUGCGUUGUUUGGCAAAUAAAUGGUUGAUGUGGUGUUGCUUUUUAACACAGAAUUAUUUCCUUUAUUUCAGGGCAGUUUUAUUUGAAAGGAUUAAGUUUUAUCAGAUAAAACUGUCUCUUGAAAUAGUCCGGUGGUCAUUUGUCUUUAAUAGAUUAUUGCUAUGGAAGAGCAGAAAUGACUACGGCAAACAGUUAAUGCACUUGGCUGCUAAGCGAUAGGUUGGAGGUUUGAGUCCACCCAGAGGCACCGCAACACAAGUCUAGUGAUCUGCUUCGGAGGAAUCGGCCGUCGAAAGCCCCGGGGAGCAGUUUUACUCUGGAUCGUGGGUCCCUGGACCACCAUGAGUGGGAGUUGACCUGACAGCAGCUGGUUUUGGUUGGUGAGAUAGGGCUUAGCUCAUUGACUUCUGAUACAACCGUUGUUAGAGGGUUAGACGUCUCUCUUACUUAUAUUCAGUCCCCAUAGUUCAUGAGUUUAUUUGAACCAUCCUCAGCAUUUCAUUGUUUGAUUUGUUUUCUUAUUAGAUCCUGAGCUGUUUGAAAACCCAGUUAUUUUGGUUUUUUUUCUGUUUUCCCAGCUUAAUAAUCUGGACUGGUGCCAAGUUAGCUUUGAUUACAUUUUUGCUUCCUUACUUACGAACUGCCAUGGAAGAGAUCGUUCUGUUGAAUGCUUUACGAUGCUUGGAUAAAAGCUCGAAUUAAAGGAUAGGAUAGACACAGAGUUUAUUCAAGUGUGCUUUUGAUGUCCUGAAGACCCAGGUGUCAGUUUUGUUUAUAAAGAGAUGAGAGCAAGGAGUUUUCUUGCCCUACAGUCAGGAAGGUUUAAGUUGUUUUACAUCAUUUAUGUAAUGUUUAAAAAAAAUGUGUGUGUAUGUCAACUACAGAUGUAACUGAAAUGGUCACCCUGAGCUCCAUGGUUCUCCUCUCCUCAAGCAUUUUUCUAGAGCCUGUCUUGCACAUUGUUCUUUAGAAAUAGUAUUUCUUGAAGGCUGAUGUUUGAGGUGGGAAAUGGGCACUGGGUUUGGCCUCUUUGUGGCAGAGUAGAGGCAAAGCUCCAGGAGGAAGAGGAGGGGGGUGGUGAUGUCACGAGGGAGGAAACAAGCUGAACAAAGUCAGCCCCUAUUCAGCCAGUUCAGUACCUGUCCUGUUUGAGGUUAGGGCCUCCCACCAGGAGGCUGUGAAAGGGAAGGGAAAGGAUGAAUAUGGGGCUAGCUUCUGCUCUCCCUUGUGGCAGCUGCCAUCUUCCACAUCACACCCGUUCUUCAGUGACCCUUACAUUGAUUCAGUAUGCCCACCCUUCAAUUCAGUUUUUGUAUCAAUGGGGAUUAGGAGAGAAGUAGAUGAUUGAUGAGGAAAGAGAAGAGAUAAGUAAGUAUGGGAUUUUUUAAAGCUCAUUUCAUAACAUAUUAGCUUAGAAUAUCAUUAUAUUACAUUCUAGAUUUUGCCUGAUUCCCUGAGAACAUUUGGAAGCUUAUAUAGAACAUUGCCCUUAGUCUUUAUGUUCUCGCAAGGUCCUUCCCGAAGCUGUGCCUAAGUGUACCUACUCCACAGCUUUCUGACUCCGGCACCUGGCCGUGACAGUGCCUCUGGAGAGAUGCCACUGUGUAAGUGUUCAGGGACACACAUGGCCAUUUUCACCACAAAUAUUCUGAAAUUGAGGGACUAUUUAGAAAGCAGGUUGUCACUCAGUUUUUCUGCAGUUGUAAUAUGGCAGGAAGAGAAACAUAGGAAUAGCCAUGACUAAGAAAACACGUAUGUAACACUCACAGUAAAAUAGUAUCAAAUACCCCACAACAAAGUGUGUCUGCUAGCUUGCAGUUCUUAUCAUCAGCCUCCUUAUAAUCUUCAAGAAAGGUGAGCAAGGAGAAAGAGGAGUGAAAGUUUAGGCUCCUUUACUGCCCUCUUUCUUGAGGACUGAAAUAGAGGUUAAGUGCUCGCUUACUAGCCGAAAGGUUGGCUGUUUGAACCCACCCAGAGGCUCCUCAGAAGACAGCCCUGGUGAUCUACUUCUGAAAGGUUCCAGCCUUGAAAACCAUAUGGAACACAGUUCUACUCUGAAGCACAUGGGGUCACCAUGAGUUGAAAUCAACUUGAGGGCAACCAACAACAACAUCAUCCCUGUUUUCAUUCUUCCAAGCCUCUUCAUGAGGGCAUAACCCAGUGUGAAAUACUCUAAGAACCCACACUGACUGGCCUCCAGAUGUGCUACUUGUACCAGAGAAUGCUGUCAGGAAGAGGGUACCCUGGUCAGCACUCGGGGACUUCCGUGUUCUCUGGCCCUGGGUUGAACAAUGAGUCCAUUUGUGGCUUCUGGCUUGGAGAAACUUAGAAUGCAGCAGACUGACUUGGACUCCUGCAUAACUGACCGCUUUAGUAUGUCUACCUUUAUAACUACCUCCUCCCAACCCUUCGAGUUUCUGAUGCAGACACAGCUGUUCUAGCUUGUUAAGUGACACGCGUGCCUCUUACAGUGAUAAGGGCCCAUGUGCUUGGAUAAAGGGUCCUUAAGGUCUAAGGAGGAAACCCUGGUGGCGUAGUGAUUAAGAGCUAUGGCUACUAACCAAAAGGCCGGCAGUUCGUAUCCACCAGGCACUCAUUGGAAACUCUAUGGGGCAGUUCUACUCUGUCCUGUAGGGUGGCUAUGAGUCAGAGUUGACUCCACGGCAGUGGGUUUUUUUUAAGGUCUAAGAACCAUCACUUAAGAGCCUCAAUUUAGCCCUCCUGUAUCAGUCUGGGUUGAAUCAGGAGAGAAAAAAAAUCACAUAGCAAUUUGAACAGGGAAGGUUUAAUAUAAAGAUACAAAGAAGUAUUGGCUCUAAGAGAGGGUUGGAGUGACAAGGGGUCAGCUUAGUAAGAGGAGAAUGCUAAAGCCUGUAGGAGCAGCAGAUACAAGGAGCAGCCUACCCUUAGGGCUGAGAUAGAGCCCCCAAGGAGGAGCUCCCCUCUCCCCCUUGUCCCUUCCUCAUCCCCAGGACACACUGCCCUGAAUCACUGAAUACAGAGGAGUUGCUAAGGUGCUGCACCAGUGAAACUUGUUGAAAAUCUGAACUCACAGGACAUCUAACCUCUAGGGUGCCGGGAAGGCUGUCCUUGGUGAGUUGCCUCACUAGAGGCGCUGCACUACAAAACAGCGUGAGGCUGGAGGAGGGGAGCAUUGCUGGGGGCUCCUGUCCGCUGCCAUGCACUGCGGGCGCCACAGGCACCCUGCUACUAAACCACUAACGGGGCCGGUGCCAGGGAACCUGCCUGCUCCUGGGUGCUUCUGGCUGCUGCGCAUUGUAGUGGAGGGACACUGAAGGAACUGAGUGCUGCAGGAGCCUGGUGGAGAGAAAGCCCUGCACUGCGGGAGCUUACUGCGGGAGCUUGCUGCGUGAGCACUGCCGGCGCUCCCUGCGGGCUCGUGGCCGGAGCUUGGUGCAGGAGCCACGGGAGCCUGGAAGCAAAGCUCUUCCUCCUGCUAUCUCUCCAGCUCCCUCUACUGACAAAGCUCCCGUACCAGCUAGCAAGGAAAACUGUUUACCUCUGUGUGUCACGGAGUAGGCAGUAAAUCGUUCACUGACACAGCCCCUCCCCACCAUGAAAAAUAUCCCAAUAAUACUCUGUGAAGGAAACGAGUGGUUCUGUCAGAGGCCAUAAUUACCACUCUUUUAUGUAUUACCCGAUUUAUAGAAUACCCCUUCUUGAGAAGAGCUGAAGGAAUUGAACAAAGAGCUUCCUACUUAACCCAGUGAACUGCUUUCAUAAAUCAGAGCUCCUUCUGUGACAGAAGAUGGUGAGCUGUGUGGAGGGAGAGAGGGGCAGGGGGAGAACAGGGGACAGGAGAAAAGGAGGAGCGUCCAAAAGGGACUCGGAAGCUGAAGCCCCCGCUGAGUGUCUGUGUGUCUGUGUCUGUGUAGAAUGCCACUAGCAGAUGGUAGCCAGGUCUCCUCUGACCUUAUAUUAUUUCUUUGUGCAUCUUUUUAAAAUCAUGCUUAUGGGAAAACCUGUCAUCGUAGCUAAAAUAGUUCCUUGCCUUUCUGUGUACACCUCACACUGUUUAAAAUUAAAGAGAAGGAACUUAAAAAAAUUUUUUUAAGUUAUUUUUACACAAAACAAUAUGUGUACUAAUUGUUUAAUGAGAAGCUAGCUUGUUCUGUAAAACCUUCAUCUAAAGUACAGUAAUAAAAAUAGAGCAGAGAGGAGGUAAAAAAAAAAAAAUUAUUUUUAGUUCCUUUGCUGGAGCCUGGCCAACAUUUUCUAAUGCUGUUUAAUGAAGUAAAGUAUACACUCAAAGCUUGUUUUAUGUGAAAAAAGAAAAUAACUGACAGUGUCAGUUAGGAAUAUGUAGAUUUAAAUUAGAAAGGGUUAAUUGUUUUCACUUGACUUGAAUGAAAUGUUGCCUCCUGAAAUUCUCUUGAGAAUUUGUUGUCUUUUACCUUAUCGUUGAGGAAGGCAAAUCUCACGUUAAGCUUAGUCACAAAAUAAAAACUCCCACUGACUUCCUCUGCUGACUUAGCUGAAGGUCAGCGUUUGGUGAGCUACCCUGGCUGAGCCAGAACUAAAAUAAGAAUAACUUAGAGACAGAAAGUCUGGUGCUGGUGGCCACCACAUGGUAAAAGGAGCUCAUGGAUACCACUCGGGAGGGUUUCCCUCAUAACCUGGGCCUUCUUCUGAAUUAAUAUUCUUAGCUACAAGCUCUGUUGUUCUAUGUUUAGAAGAGAAGGUUUUCUCAAACUUGAGUGUAUUGUUCAGGACACAGUAUAUCUUUAAAAAAAAAAGACACUUAAGGGUGAGAAUAUGUUAGUAGGUCAGAGCAGGAAUAAAAGGGAGAAGUUAUUUCAACAAAUAGAGGAACUACUACAGAGAUGCUUUCCAUUAAAGGUUUUUGCAAAUUCAAGGAAAAUGGUCUAAUCUGUGAGAGAGAAUUUUAUGAACGUUUUACAUGGAUCAGACACACUGCUUACUUAUGUGGGUGACUAUGGGGAUCUGGUGAGAGAAAACUUGUGAGCUUGUAGAUUUUAAAAUGCAGUGAUUGUAGUUCACUGAGGAGAGAAGUUUGGGUUGGAGUACCUGAGGUGGAGUCAGUUGUCUGUUCCACCUGCCCUGGAGUUUCUGGGGAAGGAAGCCCCUCACCAGUGAGUGCUUGGGAGUGAAGGAUUGGUCCCUGCUUGCCCUGGUUAAAGAGCACUCUGCAGUCCUCCCUUCCUCUGUCCUUCUCAAUCUUGUUGUCUGAAGACUUUUCUUAAGAGAUGCAUUUUGAAUAAUUGUGUACUACAACAGUGCUUGGUACCAUGAAGGGUAUAAAGACUCUCUGGAAGAAGUUUUUACAUUAAAGGGUUUGUGAUGUUUUUCAGGAGAUAAGGAACACCUUUACAAUACGAAAACACAGCAUUACACUUUACUGAGGCCUGACCCACUCACUGAAUAGGAUGUGCAGUGUGGAUUGUAGCUGCCAAAGAGAAGAUCGGUUAGGGCUGAAAUAUGCAAAGAAGGCUUCUUAGAGAAGACAUGGAGGAGGAAUUGGAGGACUGGGCAGGUCUCAGAUAGACAGAACUUUCAGAAAAGGUGGACAGUAGUAUUCAUCCAAAGAUUUUAUGUUUUUUAAACGUAUCACCCAAUACUAGAAAUGUUGAUCAUCAGUGUUAAAUAUGAAACAAUCACCUUGCAGCAAUCCUGUUUUUAUUUAAAAUCACCUGCGUGCAUAUGCAUCUAAAAAGAUGGAGGGCAGAAUGGUUAAGUGCUUGUCUCUGGCGGGGAUAUCCAUGAUUCUUCUCUGCCUUUUCUAAAUUUUCUGUAAUGAGCUAGAUUACUUCUGGGCUGAUGGCGGUGGGGAAGUUCAACUUAAAAAAAAUACUGUCCAAUGAUCCUGUCUCAGAGUUUACUUAUCUUUUCACAUACACAGGGGUUACAGAAACUGAGGGUGCUUCAUUUUUCAAAUAAUUUAUUUCUGCUUUAAACGGUUCUUUUUUGCUGCACAUUCUGCUGCUUUCCCAGUCCCGUUUCGGUGUAUUUCUUCAUAUGAUGGAUUGGCUCUGUGAAGACAGUUUUUUUCAUUGUGGAAGAGACAGUGUGCCUAAUUUAGUUGCAGGUAGUGAGUCAGCUGUGUUGCCUUUGUGUGGAGAGGGGCAGGUGUUACAUGUCUUGAACUCUGUUGAUUUUUCUGUGCGUCAUGAUUCAGGAUGUCUUUUGGUAAAGCUGUCAAUCUCAGAGAGGACCAUGGAGAAAGGGAAGCAUGCUGUGAUGACCUUUGUUUCAGUCUCUCCUCCAUCUUCCCUGGGCUCAGUGUUCUUCACAAGCUGAAGUCUUCUGUGAGUGGAUAUUUCAUUGGUUUGGUAAUGUGGGAAAAUUUUUCUACAAAUCAUCCAGAGAGAGAUGGUAGUUGUCCUUAGGUGCUGUUGAGUCAGUUCCAACUCAUAGCAACCCUCUGUACAACAGAACUGAACACUGCCCGGUCCUGCGCCAUCCUCAUAAUUGUUAUGCUUGAGCCCAUUGUUGCAGCCACUGUGUCAGUCCAUCUUGUUGAGGGCCUUCCUCUUUUUCACUGACCUUCUACUUUACCAAGCAUGACAUCCUUCUCCAGGGACUGGUCCCUCCUGAUAACAUGUCCCAAGUACGUGAGAUGUAGUCUGGCCAUCCUUGCUUCUAAGGAGCAUUCUAGCUGUACGUCUUCCAGGACAGGUUUUUUUGUUCUUCUAGCAGUCCAUGAUACAUUCAGGAUUCUUCACCAACACCAUAAUUCAAAGGCAGCAGUUCUUCAGUCUUCCUUUUUUCUUGUCCAGUUUUUGCGUGCAUAUGAGGUAAUUAAAAAAACAUCAUGGUUUGGGUCAGGCACACCUUAGUCCUCAAAGUGACAUCUUUGCUUUUUAACACUUUAAAAAGGUCUUUUGCAGCAAUGCAUUGUUUGAUUUCUUGACAGCUACUUCCAUGGGCAUUGAUUGUGGAUCCAGGUAAAAUGAAAUCCUUGACAACUUCAGUCUUUUCUCUGUUUGUCAUGAUGUUGCGUAUUGGUCCAGUGGUGAGGAUUUUUGUUUUCUUUAUGUUGAGGUAUGAUCCAUACCGAAGGCUGUAGAAGUGCUUCACCAGAACUAGACCUAUAAGUAGGCUGUCAGCACUUGUGAAAAUGGUUAAGAUUAACUAACUGAGUUAUUGAUAUAACUUGUGCCCGGUAUGGGCAGUUUCAGCCGCUGUUUUGUGUUACGCAGUCCUUGUGUGCGCUGAGGCAGCCGUGCAGAGAUGGCACUGCCUGCUGUGACGCUGUCCCUCGGUGCACCUCUGCCCGAUGGCUUUUUGAAAAGGGCGUUCUUUUCUGCCUGUGGGCUUAUGCAGUAAAAGUAGGACAUUUUUUCUUCAGAUACAAGAGGAAGAAUUUUUGCCUCACCGUCUUUUAUUAGAAGCGCUGUAUUUUCAUUCUUGAUUUCAGGAAUACAAGAGUGCCUGCUCAUUUUUUUCCUGAAAAUUUUAAACCUGAUGAGUUGUGCGUCACUCAUUUUCCUGAGGAGGGAAGUGAAUACACUUGAUAAAAUGUCACAAGGUUUAGGGUGCUUUGAAUCUCUCUCCAUCACCAAAAAUUAAUAUUAAAUUUUACUAAAAUCUUACCCACUCACCAACUUGGUGAGUGGGUAAGAUUUUAAUAAAAUUUAAUGUGUUUCGUGUUGUAAAGAUGUUCCUUAUCUCCUCAAGAACAUCACAAACCCCUUAAUGUAACAACCAGAUGCAAAUAGCCUCCUGCUCACAGCUUCAUUGGAAUUGCUGGACAUUGGUAAGGGUAUUUGGGAUGGUUUGGAGGGCCUGGACUGGGGGCUCCACAGUGUACAGAGGAAUAAUUUAAUUUGCUUUUUAAAUACCUGUUAAGUGAGAAAUUUUUUCACUUGGUCAAUUCAUUUAUUUUUAACAUACAGUAACAAAAGCCAAAAUGCCUCUGCCCUACUUUGCUGAGAGUGCCAAUGAGCAAUACCAGCACAGGCAUGUAAAAAAUGUGCGCUUUUCUUCCUUUUAAACUAGUUUGAGAAAAUCUGUGCGUCUUCUCUCUCACUCUCUUACCCCUUGUUAAUGAGUGUUUUCUUUUUGCUUGUGCAAUCGAAGUAGGAAACAGUUUUAACAGACAAGACAAAAUGGCAUAUUAACUGCAACCUCACAUCCUUUGCUCGCCACCUUUGUCCGUUUCCCCACUGUCUGUUGAAGGAAAACACAGUGCAUUUGUCCUGGAAGCUGGAAAAUGGGAAGGAACUUUCCAACUCCAUUAUUUUUACUUGCAUGUCAUGCUUGUUUUGUUUUUGGUAGUCUGGGGAAAUUGAGAUUAAAUUUUCCAUUUGAGUGGGUUAGAGAAUCACAAUGAAAAUAAUUCAUGUUUCAUUUGGUAAUUUAACCAGACUGUCUCUCAACACUUUGAAUAUCCCAGUAUGACACAGAAGGCUUUGACUGAAGUCAUUCUAGUAGUUGUUAUUGCCAAGUACCUGGUUUAGUGAUCUGUUAUGCAAAUCUGUUUGUGGAAUGGGGUAAAACAAGAGUAGCAUGGCCCUUUUGCUUUAUAAGAGUCCUGUGGUUUAGAGGCAGUUGGUCAAAAUGUUCAGCUUCUCUUUUAAAACCCCAUAGAUGAAAUAUUUGGUAAUGGUGCACAUAAUUCAAUUGUUGCUUUUUUAAAAAAAAAUAAAAAAUACUAUUUUUUUUAAAGAGCUGCCUUUUGGUUUUGGCAGUUCUGCUCAUGAUUAUAUCCAGGCUUUAAGUAUUUGAGCUCCUGGAAAUAGCAGCAAUUUUUUUGGUAUGGUAUCUCUAAGUAGGUUACUUAUCUUGGACUUGUGACUUAUUAUCAAAGAUGGAAUUUGUUUUGGCAGAAAUGAUGGCGUUAGCUAGACUGAUGGAAUCUGAAGCACUGCAGCAUUCCUUGCAGACCAUCAGAGUGAGCCAAUGUAACGUCAGAUACACCGUGUACGGCCAGACUCUGUCCGGGUAGAUCAGUAACGUAACGUCAGAUAUACCGCGUACGGCCAGACUCUGUCCCGGUAGAUCAGUAACGUAACGUCAGAUACACCGCGUGUGGCCAGACUCUGUCCCAGUAGAUCGAGCCUUCAGUAAGUGGUAGGGCUUGGCACACAGUAGGUGAUCAGAAGAUGUUGAGUUUAUGAAAUAUAAAUCUGUCUGCUUUGAAUGGUUAGAGGGGCUGUUUGAGGUUCAGACCCAUCUUCUGAAAUCUUCCAAAACCCCCAAUUAGCCAUGGUGGUAAGGAGUGCUAAUCAGAUUAUAGAACCUCGUGGGAGGAACCUGAAGGGAAACCGGGGCCUAAGGCAACCCUAGUUCUUCAGGCCAGAAAAGUACUUAGGUGUUUGGAGAAGCCUUCUGAGAGGCCCCACUGUUGAGACAAAACUGGCUUUUUUGACAGGAGCUUCCCACUCUGCCACCAUUGCUAUUCUGACGCACCGCUGUGGUGUCAGUAGGAGUUUCAGUCCAGGGAGUUCAGAUAAAUAAUUUUCUCAAGGUUACAGUUACAGGCUAGAGGGAUUGUUUGCAUUUCUUCGAGUGACAUUACUAAGUGCCAGAAAUGGUUUAAAAGUAACAAAACGCCUGAAUCUAAAGCCUGAGCACUGGUAUUUUUUUGACCUUAAAUUAUUGCUUAUCCUCUUGGAAAAAGAGUACACAUACAUUUCUCUUAGCUCUGCUCUGUGGUGGCUAAAUAAAACACGUGGCCGACUGAGCCUACAGUAUGCUUCUGGGAGAACAUGCCCCCUAACCUUUCAGACCUGGUGUCGCAGUGGUUAAGAGCUCUGCCCCUAACCAAAAGGUCAGCAGUUUGAUUCCACCAGCUGCUCCUCGGAAACCCUGUGGGCCAGUUCUACUCCAUCUGUAGUGUCGCUGUGAGUCAGAAUCAACUCAAUGGCAACGGGUUUGGUUUUUUUGGUUUGGAACCUUUCAGUGACCGCAGUGUUACUGAUCCUUACUCAGGACACCGGGGGCGUACAAAAGAAUCGUGUUCAUUCAGCACUGGUUAUGGAAUUAAAAAUCUGUAUCAUUAUAUGCUUGCAUAUUGGAAGAAACCAUGUAUACUGUUUCCACAGAGGUUAUAUACAGUCACAGAGGCUGUGACUUUUAGUCACUCGUUUAUUCAUUUAACAAAUACCUCCAGUGGUGGGCUAGACACUUCUGGUAUACCUCUUUAGAUCCGUUGUAAGCACAUAGUGAGUUUCAUAUGUUCAGAGAUGAUGUAACAUAAUAUAAAUAAGUAAACAAUGUGAUAAUGUAAAAAACAAAGACUUUUUAAGAAACUAUAGACGUUCCCAGAAGAGCUGCUAAAGAAAGGGCAGCAGCCUAUUUGUGCUGUCAUUAAAAAAAAAUGGCUGUCAUUAGGUAGCUAAAAUGUCAGAGCUUCCUUAGCCUGACAACUGCAGUGGACGGACAGAGCUCUCGUGAUUUGCCUUGAUCCGCAUUUUAGUUCCUUUGUCGUUCCAGGGUAAGCAGUAUGUGUGAGGCACAGAGAAUCUUUCUGCCUGAGGCACAGAGAAUCCUUCUGCUUGCUUUAUCUACCUUGACAGUAAAUGGGUUAGGGUCCUUUGCUCUUAGGGAGAGGUUAAUGGGAAGGAGAUGUAUAAUACAAGAUCUGGCUUUUUCUGUCCUGUCUUUUCUUCCUGCAGAGCCUCAGUCUCUCCUCUCACUCCUGCUUCCCAGUUAGCAUGUCUCUUGAUGAUAAAUGAAAAUGAAAGGAGGAAAGAAUAAGAUCUGGUAAAAUUGUAAGCUGAGAAACAGAGCCACACAUCUGUCUUACACCCACAUAAAUGCUGUUCUCGUUGAUAAAACUGACUGAUUAAACAGUUUUAAGAUGUUUUCGUAGUAUAUGAUAGCUUUGAUCAGAAAGCUCAUUCAUAUUAAGGUGACGUCUGUUGAAGAGUUCUAUUUAAAGUAUCUGUGUGCCAUGUAUUCUCAUUAACAUAAUCCCAGCUCCAAGUAGAGGAAACCAGAAAAAAGGGAAGGUCUCCUGCUUGCUUCCUCUUGCACAUGGUGUUCUCUAAGUAGCAUAACUUGAAGAGGCAAGAGAAUUUUUACUAAAUUGCCAGCACUGAUGUGAUUUAGCAGAAGGACAUUAUAGAACUAUCUUGGUUGAAGAUGUGGAACAGUUUAGUGGCUGAUGGGGGUUAGGAUUUUAUUCCUGUUCAAGCCACGGUCCUCUUCUGAUGGCUUUCAACUAGUAAGAACUGUGUGCUUGGCAGACUCAGAACACAAAAACAAAAUACAAACUAAAAAUAAUUUUGCUUUAUUCUUAACUUAAUGUCUUAUGAUCAAGAAUCAAAGAAAAAAAAUUUUAGUAACCUCUUUAGUUUCAUCAAAGGGGCAGUUAAGAUUAGUAGAAUACACACACAUCAUUCAUUUUACACCUCUGUAAUAUUUGAAAUUCUUCCUAAUACAUGUGUUACUUUUCUUCCCCUUCCUGUCAAUAAGGAUUAUCUGUACUUAUUUGUGUGUGUGUGUAUAUGCACACAAAAGACAUACAUACCUAGUAAAAAUUGGGAUCACACAUCUAUUAGAACAGCUAAAAUAAAAAUAAUGACAAUACCAAAUGUUGAUGACUAUGUGGAGAAACUAGAUCUCUCCAGUAUUGCUGAUGGGAAUGUAAAAUGAUACAGCCACUCUGGAAGAUAGUUCAGUUUUUUAAAAAAACUAAAUAUAAAUUUAGCAUACAACCCAACAGUUACACUCCCAGGCAUUUAUCCCAGAAAAAUGAAAGCACAUUCAUGCAGAAACUUGUACACAGAUGUUCAUAGCAGCUUUAUGCCCAGUAGCCAAAACUGGAAACUGCUGGUACCUAAAUGUCCUUCUAUGGGUGAAUGGUUAACUAACUAUGGUACAUCUAUACCGUAGAAUACUACUGAGCAAUAAAAAAAAAAAAAAAAAGGGUGCAAAGUGUUGAUACACACAACUUAGAUGCACCUCAAGGAAGCUCAUGCUAAGCAAAAAAAGCCCAUCUUAAAAGGUCACGUUGUGUAAUUCCACUUAUAUAACAUUCUGUAAAUGACGAAAUCAUAUAGAUGGAAAACAGAUAAGUGGUUGCCGGAGGUUAGGGAUGAGGGAACAGCAGUGUGCAUGAUGUGACUAUCAAGGUAUAAAUCGUUCUGUAUCUUGGUUGUGGUCGUGAUUACAGGACUGUACACAUGGGAUAAAAUGACCUAGAACUAUACACACACGUUGUACUGAUGUCAGAUUCCUGGUUUUGAUGUUGUACCAUGAUUACGUAAGAUGUAGUCCUUGGGGGAAAUUGAGAGAAGGGCACAUGGGACCUCUCUGUGCUAUCUUUGCAACUUCCUAUGACUAUAAUUAUUUUGAGACAAAAAGUUAAAAAUAUUUGCAGACCUUUUGCAUUAUUUUUAGUUCCUUGGCACAUGAGAGAUUUCAUUGAAGAGUUAUAUGUUCAUGAACCAUUGACUUUUUUCAUAAUUUUACUUUCUGUUUCAUAAAAAUUAGACUAGUUGUUAUGAAGUAAGAUAAUUUUUUUUUUGAACUGCUGACUCAAAGUGCAUGGCAGACUUGUACAGCUAAUUUGCUCUUUUAUUAUUUCCCCUAGCUAGAUUAAAUAAAUGGAUUAUUACUCCCCCCCACCCCACCCCACUUUAAGGAGCCCUGGUGAUGCAGUGAUUAAGCCCUCAGCUGCUAACUGAAAGGUCAGUGAUUCAAACCCACCAGUGGCUCUGCACAAGAAAGACCUGGAGAUCUGUUCCCGUAAAGGUUACAGCCGAGGAAAACCCUAUGUGGCAGUUCUACUCUGUCAUACAGUGUUGCUAGGAGUCAGAAACCACACCAAGCACACAAUAGCAGCAACCCCCACUGUCCUCACUCAGCGACCACUGAGUGCCUGCUAAGUGCUAGACUCUGUUCAAGGGGCUAUAGAUCCAGACGUGAACAGGACAAAUGUCCUGCCCUCAUGGAGCUUACAUUUUUGGUAUGUGAAGUGAGGCUGAAAGAAGGCAAAGAGUUUGUCCCCAUCUGCCCUGGUGUUCUGUUUGAACUACAGGGAAAGAGAAGUCAGCCGGUGACUGCUUCAGUGUUGCACCUCUAGGUUGAUGUCUCCAGGUAGCAGUAGCUCAGUGUGGAUGGAGUAUUUUGGAUCUGACAGUAGGAUAACAGGGUUUGGAAUCACUGGAGCUAGUAUAGAAUAGGAAGUGUGUAGAAUAUUGUAAGGAAGACAAACAGACAGCCUAAUAGCUUCAGGCCUGAGGUGUAGUCCUCUAUAUCAGUUGCUGGAAGCAUCAGCAUAGGAUGAGUUUCACAAGGAGGUAAAAAACAAAACAAAACAUCGGACUUGGAACCUUCCGCUUACUAGCUGGGUGACUUUGAGGACGUUACUUAGCCUCUCUGAGAAGAUAAUGGGAGUCUUAUUUUUUAUGCAGGAUGAAUGAACUCUGUAUGAAAGUUCAUUGUAAACUGAAAAGUUGGAAAGAUUAGUGUGGAGAGCACAGUGGUGGUGGGGCGCCUUACUUUUUUUACCAUUAAAUCAUUGUCUAGAAUCUUCUCCCUGGAGAGGACAAGUCCCCAUGUUCCUGGAACUGGCCCCAGUACACGCUAGAAUGGAUAAUCAAAGAUAAUGGAAAUAAAAAUUGAUUCUGAGUUUUGAAGAGAGGAGCGUCUUAGGUGAAAUAGAAAUGUAAAUAGAAGAUGAUUAGGUUAACUGUGAAGGGAAGUAUCUUGGCAAAACCCGUGUGGUACCCCACCCUCUACCAUGCUACCCCUAGUUCUGUGCAUUAUGUUUCUGGUCUGAGAGUCAAGGUGUUUAUGUGUGUAUCUGUGUCUGUCUGUGUAUCUGUCUCUGUCUGUCUCUCUCUUUCCUCCCCUGACUCCUCUCUCUUAUCCACAUGGUCAUUGUAAAAACAAAAAUUGGAAAAUGUAGGUAAGUGAAAGGAGAAAAUAAAAGCCUAUUUAAAAAUGGUGAUUCCCUCACUCCAUCAUCCUUAGGCUUGUCAUGGGCAGCCUCUGAGCACCCAGCCUUUGAGUUCCUGACCAGUCCUCUGAGAUCUUUAGGGUUCAAAGUAGGUAGCUUUAGUCUUAUUUUCUGCUUCUAGUCACAUUUUGUCCCACUCCCUAACCUUUUCUAGUCAACCUGUUUGCUCCCUAGUAAUUAUUUUUAAUGAUUUUCCCACGAGAGGAUUAAAAACGUAGACUCAGAAUCAGACUACCUUGGCUUUAAUUCUUGGCUUUCCGGGGGUUGUUUAACACCUCGGGCCUCAGAUAUGAGCCCUGGUGGCACACUGGUUAAAGUGCUCAGCUGCUAACCGACUGGUGGUCCGUUCAAACCCACCAGCCACUCCACCAGAGAAAGAUUCCAGCUUUGGAAACCUUAUGGGGAAGUCUUGCUCUGUCCUGUAGGGUUGCUGUGAGUCAGAAUUGAUUCGAAAGCAGUGGGUUUGGUUUUGGGUUUUGGUGCCUCAGUUUUCUCAUCUGCAAAUAAAACUUCCUUCAAAGGAAUGUGUGGUAAAGAUUAAAUGAUGAGUGUUUAUUGAACAGUGAGCACUUAUUAACUCCCAAGUAUUUAUAAUUAUUUCUAGAGAGUCUCAGCUGCAUUUUCCCGUUUGCUGCUGGUUUCAUGGCUUUCCUGUGUCUAUAGUGACCUGCUCUGCUGAUCGUUGUUCCCGUUGCCUGUUGCUCUAGAUUUUCUUUUACAGACUCCCCUUGGUACCUUGAUUUUGCUGGGUUGGCGCCUUGGUACUGAGGGGACUAGGGCUUUAGAAAGAUUCUGAACCCACUUGUUGCCCGUGACACACAUCAUCAUCAUCACUGCUAAUCCUAAUAAUUCUGUAAGAUGUCCCAAACCAAACCACUGCUGUCCAGUCGGUUCCGACUCACAGCAACCCUGUGGUGUGGAAUGACUAUAGCAAAAACACCAUAACAUUCUUUAAUGAAUAGUACACUUAAUGACAUCCUUAGUUAUGAUAAAGACCCAGAACUUUGGCUCACCUGAGUUACAGUAUUAGCUGGAAAUCAGUAGAAAAAAAUGUUAUAACUGAAUUCCACCUCUUUUCUGUUUCCACUUGAGUCCAUUCGUUGCGCCACAUUACUGAGCUCUCACCUGUGCACCAGGAGUACUGGGAUAAAUAGAAGUGAAAACAGCCCUUAAUUUCAGGGACUCACUGCCUAGUGGGGGGAAGCCGAUAAAGAGGCACCUGUGGUAAGUAUGCCCUGAAAUUAUGGUCAGAGAAGCUCGGUUUCCCCUGCCCUUCAGAGUGUACCAGCGCCAUGAGCAUCACCGGGGGGCUUAUUAGAAAUGCAGGAUUUCUGGGGAAUGUUUACAAGCUCUCCAGCAGAUUCUUAUGCCCACCAAAGUUGAGAAGCACAGUGUUAGUCUUGUUUAAGCCUGUUAACAAAUACCCAGGACAUGUGGACAUUUCUUUCUCUUGAAGUCCUAUGGAACAGGCCUCUAUUGCUGUGGUGUAGUGUUUACGGGCACAGUCCGCUGCGGAGGCUGUGUUACUGCUUUGUGGAAUGUUUUCCUGAGCUUCCAGAAAGUCUCAGUAAAUCAGGACCUUCAUGCUGGCUGACGGCCUUGCUGCCGGAGCUCUUAACUUGAAGCUCUAGUAGAGACCCUGGCAAGCCUGGCGGGCUGACGUACGUGGGAAUAGUGGGAGUGACCCCUGGCUGGGAAGUGGGGGAGUCCUAGAUAUUGUUUCUCCUGCUUCUGUGCCCUGCCGCUCUUUUCCCUGGGCUCAGUGCUCUCAAGCCCUCCAGGAUGGCGCUCCCGGGCAGAGUGCGUCCCUGUGCUAUCCCAGAGAAUGAAGAAAUCCCCCAGACUGUGCUUAACAACGCCCACGAGGCUAAUGGGAACGAAGACGAGAGGGCUGUGUCCAAACUGCAGCGCAGGCACAGUGACGUAAAAGUCUACAAGGAGUUUUGUGACUUUUAUGCGAAAUUCAACAUGGCCAAUGCCCUGGCCAGUGCUACCUGUGAGCGCUGUAAGGGCGGGUUCGCGCCUGCUGAGAAGAUCGUGAACAGUAAUGGCGAGCUGUACCAUGAGCAGUGCUUUGUGUGUGCACAGUGCUUCCAGCAGUUCCCAGAAGGACUUUUCUAUGAGGACAAGGGAAGAUAAGUGUACCAUCGUUGGAUGGUUCAUCACUCAAGUAUUUGUAAUGAAGAUAAUACCCUCAUUAAUCAGAAAGCAAGACUAUAUCAGAAGGUAGUGGCGAACAUGUUAAAACAACAACUGUGGUAUCACUUUCCACCACCACCACCAAGACUUGAGAUGUUCCUCCCCAGUUUUAUUUUGAAGGAAGGAAGUAUUGUGAAC